This 210-nucleotide ribosomal RNA is filed under the name uncultured bacterium. Its description in RNAcentral is "partial 16S ribosomal RNA". It matches the Rfam family "Bacterial small subunit ribosomal RNA", at positions 567 to 774 of the family's 1533-position model. The record is from RNAcentral.
GCGACGUAGGCGGCGUGACAAGUCACUUGUGAAAUCUCCGGGCUUAACUCGGAACGGCCAAGUGAUACUGUCGUGCUAGAGUGCAGAAAGGGCAACUGGAAUUCUUGGUGUAGCGGUGAAAUGCGUAGAUAUCAAGAGGGAACACCUGAGGCGAAGGCGAGUUGCUAGGCUGACACUGACGCUGAGGCGCGAAAGCUAGGGGAGCGAACG